RNAcentral lists this long non-coding RNA (244 nucleotides) under Panax ginseng (ginseng). RNAcentral's name for it is "long non-coding RNA (PGIN_LNC011922)". The record is from RNAcentral. Lineage: Eukaryota; Viridiplantae; Streptophyta; Magnoliopsida; Apiales; Araliaceae.
ACUAUACCAAUAAGCCUAUAAAAAGAACAGAAAAGCUACAUGCACCUAAUUUAUACACAUGAUCAUGCAGCCAAACAGAUCCCACAUCAAGUUGAUAUCAAACAUAAUUAACUUGCCAAUAAUAUCCGAAGUAACUUAUACAUCAGCAAGUACAAAAACUUAGGCAUUGUAGUAAAUGUUACCAAACGGAAGGGAAAUAAUAUUGUAGUAAUUGUUACCAAACGGAAGGGAAAUAAUAUUGGGU